UGGGGAAUAUUGGACAAUGGGGGCAACCCUGAUCCAGCAAUGCCGCGUGUGUGAAGAAGGUCUUCGGAUUGUAAAGCACUUUCGACGGGGACGAUGAUGACGGUACCCGUAGAAGAAGCCCCGGCUAACUUCGUGCCAGCAGCCGCGGUAAUACGAAGGGGGCUAGCGUUGCUCGGAAUGACUGGGCGUAAAGGGCGUGUAGGCGGUUUACACAGUCAGAUGUGAAAUCCCCGGGCUUAACCUGGGAGCUGCAUUUGAUACGUGUAGACUAGAGUGUGAGAGAGGGUUGUGGAAUUCCCAGUGUAGAGGUGAAAUUCGUAGAU
Molecule: ribosomal RNA, 323 nt
Filed under: uncultured bacterium
Lineage: Bacteria
Description: partial 16S ribosomal RNA
Rfam family: Bacterial small subunit ribosomal RNA
Source: RNAcentral